Molecule: ribosomal RNA, 773 nt
Filed under: uncultured Neocallimastigales
Lineage: Eukaryota; Fungi; Neocallimastigomycota; Neocallimastigomycetes; Neocallimastigales
Description: partial large subunit ribosomal RNA
Rfam family: Eukaryotic large subunit ribosomal RNA
Source: RNAcentral
UAUCUCUGUAGAGUCUGCAUAUCAAUAAGCGGAGGAAAAGAAACUAACAAGGAUUCCCUUAGUAACGGCGAGUGAAGCGGGAAGAGCUCAAAUUUGAAAUCUUCAAGGUUCUACCUUGACGAAUUGUAGUUUAAAGAAGUGUUCUCUGUUAGAUGAGUAGCAAAAGUUCCUUGGAAUGGGACAUCAUAGAGGGUGAGAAUCCCGUAUUUGGUUAUUCAUUCUAGCUUUGUGAUACACUUUCAAAGAGUCGGAUUGUUUGGGAAUGCAGUCCAAAAUGGGUGGUAAAUUUCAUCUAAAGCUAAAUAUUGGCGAGAGACCGAUAGCGAACAAGUACCGUGAGGGAAAGAUGAAAAGAACUUUGAAAAGAGAGUUAAACAGUACGUGAAAUUGUCAAAAGGGAGGCGUUUGACACCAGUGUUGUUUUUCCGAAAAGCAAUUACGAAUGGCUUGAUUUUGUGUUGUAUUGACCUUAUCAGCUUUCUGCACUUUUUUCGAGUCUUUCUUAAUGCACUUUUCGGUUAACAAGUCAACAUCAAUUUCUUUUGUUGUAAAAGAGUAUUCGGAAGGUGGCUUUCUUUUCGGAGAAAGUGUUUAUAGCCCUAUACUUCUACAAUCGGAGAGAUUGAGGUCUGCAGCGUAGAUCCUUCGGGGUUAGAUACACUUGUGCUAAGUUGUAGCUUUUCAUAGACAACUUGUUGACUAUGUUUAGUCAUGCGGCUUACUCGCUUGUGCUAUUUUACCUACGCUUAGGAUGUUGACUGAUAUGUAGUCGU